CUACGGGAUGCAGCAGUGAGGAAUAUUGCACAAUGGGGGGAACCCUGAUGCAGCAACGCCGCGUGGAGGAUGACGCAUCUCGGUGUGUAAACUCCUUUUAUAUGUCAAGAAAAUGACGGUAGCAUAUGAAUAAGCACCGGCUAACUCCGUGCCAGCAGCCGCGGUAAUACGGAGGGUGCAAGCGUUACUCGGAAUCACUGGGCGUAAAGGACGCGUAGGCGGGUUGGAAAGUCAGGUGUGAAAUCCUACAGCUUAACUGUAGAACUGCACUUGAAACUUCUAAUCUAGAGUAUGGGAGGGGGAGAUGGAAUUAGUGGUGUAGGGGUAAAAUCCGUAGAUAUCACUAGGAAUACCUAAAGCGAAGGCGAUCUCCUGGAACAUUACUGACGCUAAGGCGUGAAAGCGUGGGGAGCAAACAGGAUUAGACCCCGGUAGUC
RNAcentral lists this ribosomal RNA (437 nucleotides) under uncultured bacterium. Its description in RNAcentral is "partial 16S ribosomal RNA". It matches the Rfam family "Bacterial small subunit ribosomal RNA", at positions 339 to 795 of the family's 1533-position model. The record is from RNAcentral.